UACGUAGGGUGCGAGCGUUGUCCGGAGUUACUGGGCGUAAAGAGCUCGUAGGUGGUUUGUCGCGUUGUUCGUGAAAACCUGAGGCUUAACCUUGGGCGUGCGGGCGAUACGGGCAGACUGGAGUACUGCAGGGGAGACUGGAAUUCCUGGUGUAGCGGUGGAAUGCGCAGAUAUCAGGAAGAACACCUAUGGCGAAGGCAGCUCUCUGGGACGGUACUGACGCUGAGACGCGAAAGCGUGGGGAGCGAACAGG
This 253-nucleotide ribosomal RNA is filed under the name uncultured bacterium. RNAcentral describes it as "partial 16S ribosomal RNA". It matches the Rfam family "Bacterial small subunit ribosomal RNA", at positions 524 to 776 of the family's 1533-position model. The record is from RNAcentral.